This is an RNA transcript of Arabidopsis thaliana (thale cress), 604 nucleotides long. RefSeq lists it as uncharacterized. Lineage: Eukaryota; Viridiplantae; Streptophyta; Magnoliopsida; Brassicales; Brassicaceae. The record is from RefSeq. The transcript has 3 exons.
ACAGAUAAGAGUUGUGUUUAGUUGCAGAUUUUUUUUUCAAGUUCAAUACUAAGAUUUGAUUUCAAAGAACAAUUCACAUGAUACUUUUUUCUUUUGUCAACGAGAAAGAUAAGAUGGGAAGUGCAAAAGAAAACAAUUGGGGGAUCCGUAGAAUCUUUAGAUCAUUGGUGAGAAAGAUACAUCCUAAGGAGCCAAAAGAUCAUGAAAGCACAACCGAAAAUAGAGAAUUGGCGAUGAUUGACGGUUCAACCUGUAUUUUUUCAAAACAUUACGGGAAAAGUGAUGUCUUAAUGGGAAUUUUCAACAAAUUAGUGUUGGAUGAGCCGAGGCCUGCCCACCUCUUUAAGUUGUGGGAGAUGUUUGAUGUUCAUUUUUGUGCUUCACAAGAUGACCACAACCCCAACAUGACUGAGACUGAGGCUGAACUCGAAAUCGUAGUUAAAACCAUGACUCAACUCGAAUCUGAAGCCAAGAUCUUGCCUGAAACUAAGACUAAACGUCGCCGUUUUCAAUGGAUAUGUUGUUUCAACCCAUAAAUUUGUAUAUCGAACUAUUGGCGUUUUGGAUUAUUUUUAUAAUAAUUGUGUUACUGAAGAAACAAUGG